UGGGGAAUAUUGCACAAUGGGCGCAAGCCUGAUGCAGCCAUGCCGCGUGUAUGAAGAAGGCCUUCGGGUUGUAAAGUACUUUCAGCGGGGCGGAAGGGAGUAAAGUUAAUACCUUUGCUCAUUGACGUUACCCGCAGAAGAAGCACCGGCUAACUCCGUGCCAGCAGCCGCGGUAAUACGGAGGGUGCAAGCGUUAAUCGGAAUUACUGGGCGUAAAGCGCACGCAGGCGGUUUGUUAAGUCAGAUGUGAAAUCCCCGGGCUCAACCUGGGAACUGCAUCUGAUACUGGAAUGCUUGAGGCUCGUAGAGGGGGGUAGAAUUCCAGGUGUAGCGAUGAAAUGCGUAGAGAUCUGGAGGAAUACCGGUGGCGAAGGCGGCCCCCUGGACGAAGACUGACGCUCAGGUGCGAAAGCGUGGGGAGCAAACAGG
This 429-nucleotide ribosomal RNA is filed under the name Chloroflexota bacterium. RNAcentral describes it as "Chloroflexi bacterium partial 16S ribosomal RNA". It matches the Rfam family "Bacterial small subunit ribosomal RNA", at positions 355 to 776 of the family's 1533-position model. The record is from RNAcentral. Lineage: Bacteria; Bacillati; Chloroflexota.